RNAcentral lists this ribosomal RNA (274 nucleotides) under uncultured bacterium. RNAcentral describes it as "partial 16S ribosomal RNA". It matches the Rfam family "Bacterial small subunit ribosomal RNA", at positions 523 to 796 of the family's 1533-position model. The record is from RNAcentral.
AUACGUAGGUCCCGAACGUUGCGCGAAAUUACUGGGCGUAAAGGGUCCGUAGGCGGUCUGGUAAGUGGAAGGUGAAAGCCUGGGGCUCAACUCCAGAAUUGCCUUCCAAACUGCCGGACUUGAGGCAGGGAGAGGUCGGCGGAAUUCCCGGUGUAGUGGUGAAAUGCGUAGAUAUCGGGAGGAACACCAGUGGCGAAGGCGGCCGACUGGAACUGUCCUGACGCUUAGGGCCGAAAGCCAGGGGAGCGAACCGGAUUAGAUACCCUAGUAGUCC